GAUCCAAAGCACAUCUAAAACAAGCUAGUCUGUUAUUAAUUUGUUUUGUUCAGCAAGAAUGAAUCCGAACUCUACUCAAAGCUCCAGGACUUCUGGUGGUCAAGAUAAAAAAAUUGAAUCCCCAGCAACACAUUUGGCUCCUGCGGCAAGUUCUUCCAAUGCAACUGCUCCUGCAUCUACGAAAAGUAAAAAGGGUACACAUAAAUCCGUAGCACCAGAUUUGGCUCCCGCGGCAAGUUCUUCCAACCAACGUGGUUCUAAGAAAAGCCAAGGACGUUAACUCUUGGCUUCACCCAUGUUAAUACAACAUGAAAUGGCAAACAGGUUUAUUUGCUAGUGGAACAUAUGUCCGAAGAAAAUUUACAACAAAGUAUACGUUGGUUAAAAGUUCAGUGAUUGUGUGGAAUUGUUUUAGACUCUAGUGUUUACAAAUAAAUUAUUGUAAGUAGGAAGAAGUGCCUAUUAAUUUCGAAUUCACAAGUCUUUCUAAAUUUCUAUGUAAGUUUGUAUUUGCUUUUGAUGGUUUAUUUAUAAAUUAAAGCAGUAUGUGAUAAUCAAAUUCCAUUCUAAUGAGGUGAAGGCAGGUUCAAUUCGUAAGUUUGUAUUUUAAGUUUUUUUAUUAAGUAAAUAAUAAU
Molecule: long non-coding RNA, 635 nt
Organism: Cajanus cajan (pigeon pea)
Lineage: Eukaryota; Viridiplantae; Streptophyta; Magnoliopsida; Fabales; Fabaceae
Source: RefSeq, a predicted model, not a curated record